AGUGGGUUGUACCAGAAGUAGAUAGCUUAACUGAAAGGGGGGCGUUUACCACGGUAUGAUUCAUGACUGGGGUGAAGUCGUAACAAGGUAACCGUAGGGGAACCUGCGGUUGGAUCACCUCCUUACCAAAAUGAAGC
RNAcentral lists this ribosomal RNA (137 nucleotides) under Glaesserella parasuis. RNAcentral's name for it is "partial 16S ribosomal RNA". It matches the Rfam family "Bacterial small subunit ribosomal RNA", at positions 1409 to 1533 of the family's 1533-position model. Lineage: Bacteria; Pseudomonadati; Pseudomonadota; Gammaproteobacteria; Pasteurellales; Pasteurellaceae. The record is from RNAcentral.